UGUGAUGGGAGCUCGCGCUGAGAAAGAGACUCGGGCGAGGCGAGGUCGGUCGGGGUGUGUGGCUUCCUCCAAACGGAACAAAAAAAAAA
RNAcentral lists this ribosomal RNA (89 nucleotides) under Marchantia romanica. RNAcentral describes it as "partial 5.8S ribosomal RNA". The record is from RNAcentral. Lineage: Eukaryota; Viridiplantae; Streptophyta; Marchantiopsida; Marchantiales; Marchantiaceae.